UGGGGAAUAUUGCACAAUGGGCGCAAGCCUGAUGCAGCCAUGCCGCGUGUGUGAAGAAGGCCUUCGGGUUGUAAAGCACUUUCAGCGGGGAGGAAGGCGUUAAGGUUAAUAACCUUGGCGAUUGACGUUACCCGCAGAAGAAGCACCGGCUAACUCCGUGCCAGCAGCCGCGGCAAUACGGAGGGUGCAAGCGUUAAUCGGAAUUACUGGGCGUAAAGCGCACGCAGGCGGUCUGUCAAGUCGGAUGUGAAAUCCCCGGGCUCAACCUGGGAACUGCAUUCGAAACUGGCAGGCUAGAGUCUUGUAGAGGGGGGUGGAAUUCCAGGUGUAGCGGUGAAAUGCGUAGAGAUCUGGAGGAAUACCGGUGGCGAAGGCGGCCCCCUGGACGAAGACUGACGCUCAGGUGCGAAAGCGUGGGGAGCAAACAGG
RNAcentral lists this ribosomal RNA (429 nucleotides) under Chloroflexota bacterium. RNAcentral's name for it is "Chloroflexi bacterium partial 16S ribosomal RNA". It matches the Rfam family "Bacterial small subunit ribosomal RNA", at positions 355 to 776 of the family's 1533-position model. Lineage: Bacteria; Bacillati; Chloroflexota. The record is from RNAcentral.